CUUUCUAUUCGGAGAGUUUGAUUCUGGCUCAGAACGAACGCUGGCGGCGUGGAUAAGACAUGCAAGUCGAACGAGAUGUGGUAAU
Molecule: ribosomal RNA, 85 nt
Filed under: Moorena sp. SIO3C2
Lineage: Bacteria; Bacillati; Cyanobacteriota; Cyanophyceae; Coleofasciculales; Coleofasciculaceae
Description: partial 16S ribosomal RNA
Rfam family: Bacterial small subunit ribosomal RNA
Source: RNAcentral